GAGUUCAAGGCCAGCCUGAACUACAGAGUGAGACCCUGUCUCAAAAAACAAACAAACAGACAGACAUAAAAGAAGAGAGUAAACAGACAAACUAAAGAAUGGAAAAACAUAUUUGCAAAGCAUUUAUCAGAGAAGAACUUAAUAUCCAGUCUACAUAAAGAACUGGACCAUGAGGACAUCAUGCGGAGUGAAAUUAGACAGACACAGAAAACAGUUUGGCAGUUCCUCCACAAGUUAAACACAGAAUUACCACAUGGCCUAUCUCUUCUCCUAACAUGUACCCAAGAGUAUGGAAAAGAUGUGUUCAGGUAAAAACUUGCAUGGACAUUAUUCAUAGCACAUUUACAAAAGCCAAAACGUGAAGACAGUGCAAAUAUCUAUCAAUAAAUGAAUGGACACAAUAUAUAGCAUGUUCAUUUAAUAGAAUAAAAGGCUAUGAAGAGGAAUAAAGUACUAAAACAUGGCACAACAUAGAUAAAUUGCAAAAAAGAUUAUGCUAAGUGAAUGAAGUCAGACAUAAAAGACACCUUCACGCAGCCCAUUUGUGUGGAAUAUCCAGAAUGGGUGAAUCUAAAUGUGGAGAAUGCAGACUGAUGGCAUCCAGGUGCUAGGGGUGGCUUCCUACAAGGCACAGGGCUUCUCUUGUGGUGAUGAAAAUGUGGGAUCAGUGGAGAUGACAGUGGAACACAUCAUGGACGUGCUUGAUACUACUGAACUAGAAACUGGUACUACUGAGUUGAAAAGGCUACUACUGAAUUAUUAAAAAAAAAAAGACUUCUUUUAGGCUAUAUGACUUCUGCCUCAAAAUCAAACCAAAACAAAAACCCUGUCAUAAAUAAGCAGUGCAAAAUCCAAGACUAACCAUAAGACAAACAUCAACUUCCAAUUGAGGGGUGCUCCACAAACAUUCUACAAAAUACCCAAUGUAUGUGCCUCAAAACCAAAGAUCAGAAGACACAAGAAAGUAAGAGAAAGUCACAGCCAAGCUGAGAUGCAUAGUUACAAGACAAGGAAGUGUGAAUGAAUGAUAGACUUCAGUUAAUGCUGUCAACGCAGGUCACCAAGACAGUGCUCCCCAUGGUGACCACCAUGUGCGUGUGCCCCCUGGGGUUCAUCUGGAAGCACCAGGGCUGUUCUCACAACGUCUGCUAUCUGUGUCUUUGGGUCUCUUCUUGUGCAACUCAGAGGCAAAGAAAACUGAGGUACGGAGACAGUGGACAUAGCCCAAGAUCACAUGGCCAGGAAGGCAUUGCAGCUCCAGAGCCUAUAUCCUGGAUCACAGUGAGAUGAAGAAAAGGACAGUAGAAAGGAAGUGCCUGACUGGGAGAGACACUGAUGCCUCCAGGGUCAGCAGGCCUAGGAUGUGAGCCCAUCAGAAUACAGAAAACAGAAGAGACAGUUAGUACACUGUGUAAAUAUUGGGAACACGGCUGUGAGCAAGGCAAGUAACUGAGUAAAAGGAAAAAUGCACGCGCAUGUGUGUGUGUGUGGUGUGUGUAGGUGUGUGUAGGAGAUAGAUAUUAAGGAAACACAGUUCAAUUACUAUUGCAAUACUAAGAAGCCCAAGGAAAGAAGCCCUAAUUGAAGGACAGACUUCUCACAGCAAGUUUGGGUGCAGGCAAAACAGUCAUCAUUGUCCAUAUACUAUAAGAUUAUUAAGUAAGUAUUUAUUGAUUAUUCAUCACAUACCAAACAAUAGGAAUAUGGCAAAGGUGAAGAAUUUGGUCCAACCUGGGCACCAUAGAGAAGCCAGAAGGCAACAGGCACUCUCAGGAGUAUGCAUUAGUGCUUCACUGCUGGUGAUCCAGGGGGGUGAAUGUCCCCUGUGGAGUGUGGGCAGGAAGGGAAGACAUCAAAGAAAUCUGCAGGAGGAGCUGAGGCUAAGUUGCUGGGGUGGGAUGAGGCUUGCAUUGAGGGCCCCAAAGGUGUAAGGGCAUGGUGGUUUCAGGGAGAGAGCAUUUAGGAAGGUGGAGGAGGAAGUGGCCCCUCUCUAAAGUCCCAGUCUUGUCAAUGUCAGUUCCAUGGUUGGCUGGAGCCUUACUGGGCACUGGACAGUCCAGACUGAAUGGAAAGGGACAUACACUUACAUGUUGGUGGGAGAGUCCUGAGGCCACAGUGCAAUCAAGCAGUUCAGAGGGGGGAUGCUGUGGCCAUCUUUGGAAUCUAACCAGCAGUGGGUCCUUUCAGGGGAGGGAAGGACCUCUGAAGAUCUGGAGGGCUAUGCUUUUACCACAGGAGAUGAAACAGUAUUGUGCUUACUGAGGAAUUAAAUUAUUCCUCAUAGCACUACUAGCACAUCCAUUUGUGCACUGAGAAAGAGAGUCAUGGAGAAAUGACAUCUAUUUUUGAGGUCACCCAACUGGACAGUUGUGGAGGUGGCAUCCCUGUGCUGUUGGUUGCUCUAGAGUCUGAUGUCCCCUGCAACUGGUACCAUUGUAGUCCCUGGUCUUCUUCACAAAUGUUCGUGUAUCUCUAAAUUGGGGCAGCGAAGGUGAUACACAAAUUUCAAAGCCCGUGUUCUCAUGUAAUACACAGAGAGGGUGGUAACAACUUUAUUUUUAUGAUAUCUAAUUUCUAUGGUACUAAAAUUUGCAGGCUUUUCCUGCUGCCUCUUGUGUGGGCUGCUUUAUCCUUAUCAUUUGAAAACGUAUUAAUGCUGGGUGCCACAGUCCUGCCAUCUGCGACCUUUACCUGCUCAGCCAAGGACAAGUAUUUGUAUUCAGCUACAUUUUCCAGCCUUGAAGGAGUAGCUUCUGGCAAGACACUGUUUUCAAGCUUGGAGACACCCAGCUUCACGUGCUGCUGGAAAACUAAAGGCUUCCUUUUAUGGGAACAGGACAGGUGAUGCAUUGAUUUUUGCCUUGAUAGUGAAAGCAAGCACUUCAGCCCUAUUCUGUAAUUUGUAAGCUCCAGUGCACCUAUCAUUUCCCUCCUUAAAUAAGCCAUGUUAUCAGGCCGAGCUACCAUUCAGAGAGAUGGUGAGUGUGCGUGUGUGUAAGUGCAUGCACCAGCACCAGCACACAUACCUGUGUGUUUCACAAAACAAACCCAAAGUCUAAAUUGGAAAACUCCUAUUUUUUUCCUUUAAAGACUAACAGUAGCAACUUGUAUUUCUCGCUUUCCUCACUCAGUGAUAUUUACAGGAGACAUAAGUCCCCUGGCAGAGUACAGCAUCUGCCCGUGUUAGUGGUCCAAACACAAGACCAGGUUAGGGUGUUAUGGUUUAGAUCUAAAAUGUUCCCCCCAAAACCCCACGUUUGGAGGCAGGGCCUGGUUGGAAGGGGCAGAUCACCAGAGGCAUGCCUUGGAAGAGUAUAUUCUUUCCCGGCUCCUUCCUUCCUUCUAUUCCUGCUUUCUGGCCACUGAGUUGUGAGUAGUUUUCCUCUUCCAUGUUGUUCCUGCCUUGGAUUUGAAGGAACAUGGACUGGAUUCACUGAAACUGUGAGCCAAACAAAUCUCUCCUCCUAUAAGGUGUGAGUGUCAAGUACUGUGUUCAGCAGCAUGAAAGCUGACUAAUGCAGGUGUGCUUGUGGACAAGAAGCCUCUUGUUUGCUUUGUUAUUGUGGUUUAUUUUUGUAGUCCUAAUAUCAUUGUUCACACUAUUCUUGGCACUUUUUAAUAUGGGUUCCAGGUUGAUUGAUUCUGUUACAACCAAAGAUUUGCACAUAGUAGGUGUUCACCAAACACCUGUCAAAUGAAUUAAUGUUAAUUUUGCUAUGAAUGGAAGGACUUCACCAGAUGCAAUGCCAAGAAAAGCUUACGUCUUUAUCGCUAAUGUCAGUAAAUCAUGGCGGCUUCUUUGGCUGGAAUGAUGGUGCUUCCUCUGCAGGCAGCAUGGGUCCGGUGGGCAGGCAGGUGGAGGGGAGCAUCCCCUGUGUGCACCUGGUCCAGGUUCCAGGCCCCACUGCCGCGUGCACACAGUGACCUAUCUGUGUGAGGCUCAUUCUCAAGGCUGCUUCACCCCAAUGAAUGCAACAGAGAAGCUAGUGCAGAUGCUGAGGAGGUGAAAGGGAGGCCACGGAGGAAACACCCAGAGCACUGUGGAAGCCACCAUGGAGGGUGCCUCGGCCCCACACAGAGUGCACCCCGUAUUUAGGCACCAGUGUGGUUAUUCCAUUUCCGUGUCCAUGGCCGGUCAGGAACCAGGGUAAGUGGGGUGGGAGGUGUGUGCAAGCGAGGUAGUCAAGAUGGCCCCUCUAAGUGGACACCACUCCUUUGUCACUGCCAGUCACUUCCAAGCCAGCUGAGGCCUAGGCACACUUCCGCCCUCACACAGAGACCGCCCUGCAACAGCCAAGGUGGCAGGCCUCUAGUGGACUUGAGAACGUGGUUCAAGUUACUCCUGCUGGGACACAUUUUCUUUUUCUUUUAAUUAAAAAC
Fukomys damarensis (Damara mole-rat) is the source of this 4380-nucleotide long non-coding RNA. RefSeq lists it as uncharacterized. The record is from RefSeq and is a predicted model, not a curated record. The transcript is spliced from 4 exons. Lineage: Eukaryota; Metazoa; Chordata; Mammalia; Rodentia; Bathyergidae.